GACGAACGCUGGCGGCGUGCUUAACACAUGCAAGUCGAACGGAAAGGCCCUGCUUUUGUGGGGUGCUCGAGUGGCGAACGGGUGAGUAACACGUGAGUAACCUGCCCUUGACUUUGGGAUAACUUCAGGAAACUGGUGCUAAUACCGGAUAGGAGCUCCUGCUGCAUGGUGGGGGUUGGAAAGUUUCGGCGGUUGGGGAUGGACUCGCGGCUUAUCAGCUUGUUGGUGGGGUAGUGGCUUACCAAGGCUUUGACGGGUAGCCGGCCUGAGAGGGUGACCGGCCACAUUGGGACUGAGAUACGGCCCAGACUCCUACGGGAGGCAGCAGUGGGGAAUAUUGCACAAUGGGCGGAAGCAUGAUGCAGCAACGCCGCGUGCGGGAUGACGGCCUUCGGGUUGUAAACCGCUUUCGCCUGUGACGAAGCGUGAGUGACGGUAAUGGGUAAAGAAGCACCGGCUAACUACGUG
RNAcentral lists this ribosomal RNA (468 nucleotides) under uncultured bacterium. RNAcentral describes it as "partial 16S ribosomal RNA". It matches the Rfam family "Bacterial small subunit ribosomal RNA", at positions 28 to 507 of the family's 1533-position model. The record is from RNAcentral.